CAUCCUAGUACUACUCUCGC
This 20-nucleotide small nuclear RNA is filed under the name Arabidopsis thaliana (thale cress). RNAcentral's name for it is "snRNA_13245". Lineage: Eukaryota; Viridiplantae; Streptophyta; Magnoliopsida; Brassicales; Brassicaceae. The record is from RNAcentral.